Molecule: ribosomal RNA, 635 nt
Filed under: Rhodoluna lacicola
Lineage: Bacteria; Bacillati; Actinomycetota; Actinomycetes; Micrococcales; Microbacteriaceae
Description: bacterial SSU rRNA
Rfam family: Bacterial small subunit ribosomal RNA
Source: RNAcentral
ACGAUGAAAGCUGGAGCUUGCUCCGGCUGGAUUAGUGGCGAACGGGUGAGUAACACGUGAGCAAUCUGCCCUGGACUCUGGGAUAACCCCGAGAAAUCGGAGCUAAUACCGGAUACGACACCUCCCGGCAUCGGGUGGGUGUGGAAAGAAUUUCGGUCCAGGAUGAGCUCGCGGCCUAUCAGCUUGUUGGUGAGGUAACGGCUCACCAAGGCGACGACGGGUAGCCGGCCUGAGAGGGUGACCGGCCACACUGGGACUGAGACACGGCCCAGACUCCUACGGGAGGCAGCAGUGGGGAAUAUUGCACAAUGGGCGCAAGCCUGAUGCAGCAACGCCGCGUGGGGGACGACGGCCUUCGGGUUGUAAACCUCUUUUAGCAGGGAAGAAGCGCAAGUGACGGUACCUGCAGAAAAAGCACCGGCUAACUACGUGCCAGCAGCCGCGGUAAUACGUAGGGUGCAAGCGUUGUCCGGAAUUAUUGGGCGUAAAGAGCUCGUAGGCGGUUUGUCGCGUCUGCUGUGAAAAUCCGAGGCUCAACCUCGGACCUGCAGUGGGUACGGGCAAACUAGAGUGCGGUAGGGGAGAUUGGAAUUCCUGGUGUAGCGGUGGAAUGCGCAGAUAUCAGGAGGAACACC